UCGCUUUGCCUGUGAAAAACAAGACACCGUGGGACUGGCCCAGCCCAGGCCCACCCACCCUGGCCCCUGGGCUGUGGGCUGCAGACAAACAGAGAAAGAGUGCCCCUGGCUCGCUCCUGGCCCCGUGCUUCCUAACGUGGAGGCUGCCACUGCAUCGUGGGAUCUGGCUUUCUGGUUUGAUUGGAGGAACCGGAGCAUGUUUACACCCUAAAGGAAACGUGCCAGCAGAGUGGACAGCUGAAAGAUCCACACAAUAGACAGGGAAGCCGCACAGACACCCACCUACUAACAGAACGCAGCAUUCUUCUGUGCGGUCGCAAGUGCAGACAUGUGUUUUUCCUCCCCCACAUCUAGCAUCAGAAAGUUGGCCACAGCGUCUGUUUGAGGAGGCUGGCAGCUCUGUCUUGAGUGAGUCAGACAGGACAGCAGGAAGGGUUGGGACUCUGCGGCUGUUCUGUAGAGCCGCGUAGAGCCAGUGGACUUGCUCCUUUGUCCUUCUGGCUUG
Non-coding RNA from Vicugna pacos (alpaca), 505 nucleotides. NCBI's taxonomy places the organism in Eukaryota, Metazoa, Chordata, Mammalia, Artiodactyla, Camelidae. The record is from RefSeq and is a predicted model, not a curated record.